RNAcentral lists this ribosomal RNA (468 nucleotides) under uncultured bacterium. Its description in RNAcentral is "partial 16S ribosomal RNA". It matches the Rfam family "Bacterial small subunit ribosomal RNA", at positions 28 to 507 of the family's 1533-position model. The record is from RNAcentral.
GACGAACGCUGGCGGCGUGCUUAACACAUGCAAGUCGAACGGAAAGGCCCUGCUUUUGUGGGGUGCUCGAGUGGCGAAAGGGUGAGUAACACGUGAGUAACCUGCCCUUGACUUUGGGAUAACUUCAGGAAACUGGGGCUAAUACCGGAUAGGAGCUCCUGCUGCAUGGUGGGGGUUGGAAAGUUUCGGCGGUUGGGGAUGGACUCGCGGCUUAUCAGCUUGCUGGUGGGGUAGUGGCUUACCAAGGCUUUGACGGGUAGCCGGCCUGAGAGGGUGACCGGCCACAUUGGGACUGGGAUACGGCCCAGACUCCUACGGGAGGCAGCAGUGGGGAAUAUUGCACAAUGGGCGGAAGCCUGAUGCAGCAACGCCGCGUGCGGGAUGACGGCCUUCGGGUUGUAAACCGCUUUCGCCUGUGACGAAGCGUGAGUGACGGUAAUGGGUAAAGAAGCACCGGCUAACUACGUG